Molecule: ribosomal RNA, 476 nt
Filed under: uncultured bacterium
Lineage: Bacteria
Description: bacterial SSU rRNA
Rfam family: Bacterial small subunit ribosomal RNA
Source: RNAcentral
GAUGAACGCUGGCGGCGUGCUUAACACAUGCAAGUCGAACGGAGAAACGGUAGCUUGCUAUCUUUUUAGUGGUCGGACGGGUGAGUAACGCGUGGGUAACCUGCCCUUUGCAGGGGGAGUAACAGUGAGAAAUCGCUGCUAAUACCGCAUACCAACUUCUUUCGCAUGAAGGAAGUUUGAAAGAUUUAUCGGCAAAGGAUGGACCCGCGUUGGAUUAGCUAGUUGGUGAGAUAACAGCCCACCAAGGCAACGAUCCAUAGCCGGCCUGAGAGGGUGAACGGCCACACUGGGACUGAGACACGGCCCAGACUCCUACGGGAGGCAGCAGUGGGGAAUAUUGCACAAUGGGCGAAAGCCUGAUGCAGCGACGCCGCGUGAAGGAUGAAGGUCUUCGGAUUGUAAACUUCUAUCAGCAGGGAAGAAAGGGCUUAUAGCCUAUGACGGUACCUGACUAAGAAGCCCCGGCUAACUACGUG